Molecule: unclassified non-coding RNA, 309 nt
Filed under: plant metagenome
Description: partial contains 5.8S ribosomal RNA, internal transcribed spacer 2, and large subunit ribosomal RNA
Rfam family: 5.8S ribosomal RNA (bases 1-105)
Source: RNAcentral
GAAAUGCGAUAAGUGGUGUGAAUUGCAGAAUUCAGUGAAUCAUCGAAUCUUUGAACGCACAUUGCGCCCCUUGGUAUUCCAUGGGGCAUGCCUGUUCGAGCGUCAUUUGUACCCUCAAGCUCUGCUUGGUGUUGGGUGUUUGUCCCGUCUCCGCGCGUGGACUCGCCCCAAAGUGAUUGGCAGCCGGCGUACUGGUCCCGGAGCGCAGCACAUGUCGCGCAAACGAGUGCCUUGGUACGGCGGCGUCCAUAAGCCCCUCUCUCACGCUCUUGACCUCGGAUCAGGUAGGGAUACCCGCUGAACUUAAGC